RNAcentral lists this ribosomal RNA (355 nucleotides) under uncultured Helicobacter sp. RNAcentral describes it as "bacterial SSU rRNA". It matches the Rfam family "Bacterial small subunit ribosomal RNA", at positions 85 to 450 of the family's 1533-position model. Lineage: Bacteria; Pseudomonadati; Campylobacterota; Epsilonproteobacteria; Campylobacterales; Helicobacteraceae. The record is from RNAcentral.
AAGUGGAUUAGUGGCGCACGGGUGAGUAGUGGGGGCAUAGGUAACAUGCCCUUUAGUCUGGGAUAGCCACUGGAAACGGUGAUUAAUACUGGAUACUCCCUACGGGGGAAAGAUUUUUCGCUAAAGGAUUGGCCUAUGUCCUAUCAGCUUGUUGGUGAGGUAAUGGCUCACCAAGGCUAUGACGGGUAUCCGGCCUGAGAGGGUGAUCGGACACACUGGAACUGAGACACGGUCCAGACUCCUACGGGAGGCAGCAGUAGGGAAUAUUGCUCAAUGGGGGAAACCCUGAAGCAGCAACGCCGCGUGGAGGAUGAAAGGUUUUAAGGAUUGUAAACUCCUUUUGUAAGAGAAGAUU